UUUAUGAAUUAAGUAUAAUGUAUAUUUCAUUUACAAUGAUAAGGCCUAUUUAAUAGAAUUCAUAUUUAUUU
RNAcentral lists this transfer RNA (71 nucleotides) under Fastosarion hannianus. Its description in RNAcentral is "tRNA-Val". The record is from RNAcentral. Lineage: Eukaryota; Metazoa; Mollusca; Gastropoda; Stylommatophora; Helicarionidae.